AAGGAUGAACGGGUGGCCGCGGGAGAUUUACCCGAGGAAAGUCCGGGCAUCGAAGGGCAGGAUGGUCCCUAACGGGGACUGGGGGUGACCCCAAGGAAAGUGCCACAGAAAGCAUACCGCCCCUCCCUUAAGGAGGAGCAAGGGUGAAAAGGUGAGGUAAGAGCUCACCAGUCUCGUGGCGACACGAGAGCUUGGCAAACCCCAUCCGAUGCAAGGCCAAACAGGGGGCAGCCAAGGGCUGCGGGAUGGCCCGUCCUCAACCCGGGUAGGCCGCAAGAGGUCCAGGCUCUGGAUCCUUAGAUGAAUGGCCACCACCCCCUGAGGGGUACAGAACCCGGCUUAUAGUUUGUCCUUCCUU
This 358-nucleotide RNase P RNA is filed under the name Deltaproteobacteria bacterium. Its description in RNAcentral is "RNase P RNA component class A". It matches the Rfam family "Bacterial RNase P class A". Rfam says of the family: Ribonuclease P (RNase P) is a ubiquitous endoribonuclease, found in archaea, bacteria and eukarya as well as chloroplasts and mitochondria. Its best characterised activity is the generation of mature 5'-ends of tRNAs by cleaving the 5'-leader elements of precursor-tRNAs. Lineage: Bacteria; Pseudomonadati; Myxococcota; Myxococcia. The record is from RNAcentral.